ACAUCGCCUCUUGAAUAAAAUAAGAGGUCCAGCCUGCCCAGUGAAAUUAUUCAACGGCCGCGGUAUCCUAACCGUGCGAAGGUAGCGUAAUCACUUGUUCUUUAAAUGAGGACUAGUAUGAAUGGCACCACGAGGGUGCUACUGUCUCCUUUUUUAAAUCAGUGAAACUAAUCUUCCCGUGAAGAAGCGGGAAUUUUUUUAUAAGACGAGAAGACCCCAUGGAGCUUUAAACAAAUGACAUUUGCUUCAUCUAAUACUUUGUCUGCAAGAAGUAUAGCAUUAUGACCUUUAGUUUUCGAUUGGGGUGAUCACGGAGUAAAAUAUAACCUCCACGCCGAAAGGGUUUAUUCCCUAAGCAAAAAGCUACAGCUUUAGGCACUAAAAAAUUAACGUAAUUUGAC
This 401-nucleotide ribosomal RNA is filed under the name Hypsiboas aff. semilineatus AF-2016. RNAcentral describes it as "partial 16S ribosomal RNA". It matches the Rfam family "Bacterial large subunit ribosomal RNA", at positions 1813 to 2373 of the family's 2925-position model. Lineage: Eukaryota; Metazoa; Chordata; Amphibia; Anura; Hylidae. The record is from RNAcentral.